AUGCCGAGGUCCUCCUCCGCGCCCCGCAUCCUCGGCAGGGCCAUGGCCAUCCUCUCCCUGCCGCUCACCCCGCUCUCCAAGGCCAGGGCGGCGCGGACCCUGCUCCUCUUCAAGAAGCGCCGCGCGCGCCGCCUGCGCCACUACAACUACGCCUACGUCGGCGAGUACCAGUUCUCGCCCUCCGGCUCCCCGCUGCUCCUGCCCCGCCCGCCCGGCGUCUCCGCGUGGCGCGCCAAGCGGAGGAGCCGGGCCAGGACGGUCCUCGCCGCGCUCCUCUGCGGCGGCGGGUGCGGCUUCGACGGCGACGGCGGGAUCGACGUCGCCGUGCUCGACGGGCUGCUGCCCCUGCCUCGGGCUCUGCAGGACGAGCGGUCGGUUGACGACGACGGCGAGGAGGAAGCGUGCGACGGCGAGGAGGAGGAGGAAGUGGAGGUGGAGUUCGAGGGGGACGAGGAGGUGGACGGCCGCGCGGAGCGGUUCAUCGAGAGGUUCUACGAGGAGAUGAGGAUGCAGCAGCGGCGCCUCCUCUAG
This 531-nucleotide ribosomal RNA is filed under the name Triticum aestivum (bread wheat). RNAcentral's name for it is "partial small subunit ribosomal RNA". Lineage: Eukaryota; Viridiplantae; Streptophyta; Magnoliopsida; Poales; Poaceae. The record is from RNAcentral.